Sorex fumeus (smoky shrew) is the source of this 193-nucleotide small nuclear RNA. RefSeq annotates it as U2 spliceosomal RNA. Lineage: Eukaryota; Metazoa; Chordata; Mammalia; Eulipotyphla; Soricidae. The transcript has a single exon. The record is from RefSeq and is a predicted model, not a curated record.
AUAGCUUCUCGGCCUUUUGGCUAAGAUCAAAUGUAGUAUAGAAGGAGUAAUGAGCCAAAAAUAUGUGUGUUGAGUAAACAGGUAAUUGUGUAACUAAAUUUUGUAAGAAAGCAGGAAUUACUUAUUUUAUCAAUGAAAUGUGGGAACUGUCUCACUGUCUUUGGUGUUCACUAACACAGGAAGAUAAAUCUAU